GACGAACGCUGGCGGCGUGCCUAAUACAUGCAAGUAGAACGCACAGUUUAUACCGUAGCUUGCUACACCAUAGACUGUGAGUUGCGAACGGGUGAGUAACGCGUAGGUAACCUGCCUGGUAGCGGGGGAUAACUAUUGGAAACGAUAGCUAAUACCGCAUAAUAUUAAUUAUUGCAUGAUAAUUAAUUGAAAGGUGCAAUUGCACCACUACCAGAUGGCCCUGCGUUGUAUUAGCUAGUAGGUGAGGUAACGGCUCACCUAGGCGACGAUACAUAGCCGACCUGAGAGGGUGAUCGGCCACACUGGGACUGAGACACGGCCCAGACUCCUACGGGAGGCAGCAGUAGGGAAUCUUCGGCAAUGGACGAAAGUCUGACCGAGCAACGCCGCGGGAGUGAAGAAGGUUUUCGGAUCGUAAAGCUCGGUUGUAAGAGAAGAACGGGUGUGAGAGUGGAAAGUUCACACUGUGACGGUAUCUUACCAGAAAGGGACGGCUAACUACGUG
RNAcentral lists this ribosomal RNA (505 nucleotides) under uncultured bacterium. Its description in RNAcentral is "partial 16S ribosomal RNA". It matches the Rfam family "Bacterial small subunit ribosomal RNA", at positions 28 to 507 of the family's 1533-position model. The record is from RNAcentral.